UACACGAGCGGCGGACGGCUGAGUAACACGUAGGAACCUACCCCAAACUGAGGGAUAAGCACCAGAAAUGGUGUCUAAUACCGCAUGUGCUCUUCGGAGUAAAGCUACGGCGGUUUGGGAAGGGCCUGCGUCCGAUUAGCUUGUUGGUAAGGUAAAAGCUUACCAAGGCGACGAUCGGUAGCUGGUCUGAGAGGAUGAUCAGCCAGACUGGGACUGAGAACGGCCCAG
This 228-nucleotide ribosomal RNA is filed under the name uncultured bacterium. Its description in RNAcentral is "partial 16S ribosomal RNA". It matches the Rfam family "Bacterial small subunit ribosomal RNA", at positions 88 to 334 of the family's 1533-position model. The record is from RNAcentral.